CCCUUAGACACUCUGGGCGGCACGCGCGCUACAAUGGGUGGAAGAACGUGUUACUGCCUCCGAAAGGAGGGGUGAAUCACGAAUUCUUGCCCGUGAAUGGGAUAGUUUGUUGCAAUUUUCGGACUUGAACUAGGAAUCCCUUGUAAACAUGCUCAAGAAUAGCGUGUUGAAUACGUCCCUGCCGUUUGUACACACCGCCCGUCGUUUCUUCCGACUGAUACUCAUUGUGAGUUGCAAGGACCCUUUAUUGGGAAAUUGCUGCAAAUGCUUUGUAUUGGAGGAAGAAAAAGUCGUAACA
This 298-nucleotide ribosomal RNA is filed under the name uncultured eukaryote. RNAcentral describes it as "partial 18S ribosomal RNA". It matches the Rfam family "Eukaryotic small subunit ribosomal RNA", at positions 1470 to 1796 of the family's 1831-position model. The record is from RNAcentral.